UAUCGACCGAUAUGCUAAGCAGCCUGCGAGCGGACCUAGCAGGGGCAUAACAGAGGGAUUAAAGGGUGUAGCUUACUGAUCCCUAAGAAGGACCAACGUGACUGCAAAAUAAUGCGGAUACAGAUUACCUAGACGGCGUUAAAAGGCCUCAACUGUUCAAGGUGGCGGAUGGAUCUUCCAGUGCCCUCGAGGUUAACCGCGGACGUCAUCGUGUGAUGAUCACCCGAGGACCCUCCAGGAGUCAAGCGGUGGAAGACCCUCGGCCACGGCGCUGCGGGGAGUCGUCUCCUGGAGUGCAGCGGGAGCUACUGGACUAUUGCGAGAGUUGAUGAACCAGAGGCUGAUUAGGUUUAAUGUGGUUUUGAUAUGAAAAUCCCAAUUUGCGUUUGUUCAUGUAACAAUCAGAGCUUGAAAAUGUUUUAGUUUUAAAUGUUGAACAUUUGAAAUGUCAAAAUAAAAGAAUAUUCACAUAAAACCAAUAUCUGUUUGAUAUUUACAA
Molecule: long non-coding RNA, 499 nt
Organism: Macrosteles quadrilineatus (aster leafhopper)
Lineage: Eukaryota; Metazoa; Arthropoda; Insecta; Hemiptera; Cicadellidae
Exons: 3
Source: RefSeq, a predicted model, not a curated record